AUCCAGCUGAUGAGUUCCAAAUAGGAUGAAAUGCGCAUCUUGGAU
RNAcentral lists this non-coding RNA (45 nucleotides) under Schistosoma margrebowiei. Lineage: Eukaryota; Metazoa; Platyhelminthes; Trematoda; Strigeidida; Schistosomatidae. The record is from RNAcentral.